GGAUCCAGACUUUGAUUAUGGCUCAGGAUGAACGCUGGCGGCGUGCUUAACACAUGCAAGUCGAACGAAGCAUUUAGAACAGAUUAUUUCGGUAUGAAGUUCUUUAUGACUGAGUGGCGGACGGGUGAGUAACGCGUGGGUAACCUGCCUUGUACUGGGGGAUAGCAGCUGGAAACGGCUGGUAAUACCGCAUAAGCGCACAAUGUUGCAUGACAUGGUGUGAAAAACUCCGGUGGUAUAAGAUGGACCCGCGUCUGAUUAGCUAGUUGGUGAGAUAACAGCCCACCAAGGCGACGAUCAGUAGCCGACUUGAGAGGGUGACCGGCCACAUUGGGACUGAGACACGGCCCAGACUCCUACGGGAGGCAGCAGUGGGGAAUAUUGCACAAUGGAGGAAACUCUGAUGCAGCGACGCCGCGUGAGUGAAGAAGUAAUUCGUUAUGUAAAGCUCUAUCAGCAGGGAAGAUAGUGACGGUACCUGACUAAGAAGCUCCGGCUAAAUACGUGCCAGCAGCCGCGGUAAUACGUAUGGAGCAAGCGUUAUCCGGAUUUACUGGGUGUAAAGGGAGUGUAGGUGGCCAUGCAAGUCAGAAGUGAAAAUCCGGGGCUCAACCCCGGAACUGCUUUUGAAACUGUAAGGCUGGAGUGCAGGAGGGGUGAGUGGAAUUCCUAGUGUAGCGGUGAAAUGCGUAGAUAUUAGGAGGAACACCAGUGGCGAAGGCGGCUCACUGGACUGUAACUGACACUGAGGCUCGAAAGCGUGGGGAGCAAACAGGAUUAGAUACCCUGGUAGUCCGCGCCGUAAACGAUGAAUACUAGGUGUCGGGGCCCAAAAGGGCUUCGGUGCCGCAGCAAACGCAAUAAGUAUUCCACCUGGGGAGUACGUUCGCAAGAAUGCAACUCAAAGGAAUUGACGG
RNAcentral lists this ribosomal RNA (917 nucleotides) under uncultured Bacillota bacterium. Its description in RNAcentral is "bacterial SSU rRNA". It matches the Rfam family "Bacterial small subunit ribosomal RNA", at positions 1 to 916 of the family's 1533-position model. The record is from RNAcentral. Lineage: Bacteria; Bacillati; Bacillota.